RNAcentral lists this ribosomal RNA (495 nucleotides) under uncultured bacterium. RNAcentral describes it as "partial 16S ribosomal RNA". It matches the Rfam family "Bacterial small subunit ribosomal RNA", at positions 28 to 507 of the family's 1533-position model. The record is from RNAcentral.
GACGAACGCUGGCGGCGUGCCUAAUACAUGCAAGUAGAACGCUGAAGGAGGAGCUUGCUUCUCUGGAUGAGUUGCGAACGGGUGAGUAACGCGUAGGUAACCUGCCUGGUAGCGGGGGAUAACUAUUGGAAACGAUAGCUAAUACCGCAUAAUAUUGACUAUUGCAUGAUAGUCAGUUGAAAGGUGCAACUGCACCACUACCAGAUGGACCUGCGUUGUAUUAGCUAGUUGGUGGGGUAACGGCUCACCAAGGCGACGAUACAUAGCCGACCUGAGAGGGUGGUCGGCCACACUGAGACUGAGACACGGCCCAGACUCCCACGGGAGGCAGCAGGAGGGAAUCUUCGGCAAUGGGCGGAAAUCUGAGCGAGAAACGCCGCGGGAGUAAAGAAGGUUUUCGGGUCGGAAAGGUCGGCUGUAAGGGAAGAACGAGUGUGAGAGUGGAAAGCUCACACUGUGACGGUAUCUUACCAGAAAGCGACGGCUAACUACGUG